GGUGGACGAGCUGUUCACGGGUGAAGAGGAAGGAGAUAGGAAAUACUGGUGGGGAAGAGAAAGAAGGGAGAAGAGAGCCAUUUGACGUGUGGGGCCUAUUGCCACUUGUCAUCUGAUAAAUAGAACUCACUAUCACAUUAUGCGAAACCACAUUAAAAACCACCGUUGCAUGAUGACCUCGAGGGGGCAUUCAAAAUAAACUUUUUCCUAGUCUUGAAAAUUGCUGAACUUAUCAUCACCCCUUGCAUAUAUUUUGUUUCAUAAUUCCUAAUUGUCACCUGAGUUAAAACGACUUUUGUGGUCAAUCGAUUUUUAUAUAUGUCAAAUCCACUUUUUCCAGCAAGCCCAUGACGAGCGUAAGGAUAUAUAUCAAAGAUUAGAACCACAAAGAUUAGAACCACAUGUUUCUUGAAUUUUUUCCCCGACGUGAUGGUGUUGAGGGGAAUAGCUGGUUGAAGUGGAAGUUAAUGUAUUCUUUUUUGAUAUGGACCAAAAAUUUCAAAAAAAAUUAUACUUAUUUUCAGUUUUCAUGCGCACGGUUAUUUCUUUUUCUAAUUAUUCUUGUUUUUUCAUUUCUCGAUCACUAGAUUUUAUUUUUGUUCCGUCUUGAAACUUAGCUGCCGUGUAAUAAUUCUAGGUUUUAUUUUAAAUAUUUAUUUGCUGUUCUUCUCCUGCCAAUCUUACACUGCUGAGUUUUAUGCAUUUUACCUCACCGGGUUAUUCUUUUUGUUCAAAUAGAUGGCCAUGAAAAGGGAUUUUUGAUCUGCUGAUGCAUCAAUUGCUGUUGCUGAAGAUUAUGUUUACACCAGUGGAGACCCAGAUAUCUCUAAAUUUUCUAAGUGCCAGGAGGUAAAAAUAUUUCAAUGUUUCAUUUCCUUUUUGAAAUACUGAUCUAUUUGUAAUCAUUCUCAAAACUAUAUUUGAGUGUUUGUUUGGGUUUUGUUUUGCAGGUGUAAUUUCUUUGGGUUAGAUCAACUUAAUAGAAGAAUUCGUAGUGUUUUCUAAUUCCAUGGUAUGUUUGAUUUACAAACUGGGUGUAGUUUCGAUGGUUAGGUUCUGGGUGCUGAGGCAUGUUAACAAAAAAUAGUACGUUUGAUUUGUUUAUUUUUUCUGAUUAUAUGUUUUGGUUAUAGACAUGAACCAUGAUGAACGUACACUUUUUGUUGAUCUUCCUAUUCAUUCUACAUAUAUAGUUUUUGUUACGUAUCUAGAUAUAUAUGCAUUUAGAUCUAUAUUAAAAGUUUUGUAUAUACAAAAAUCAAAACAAAUAGUAAUUUGAGAUGGAGGGACUACUUUCAUUUCUGUUCCGGGUUGUUUGUCUUUCCCAUUUUUUCGUUGACGUACCUACAGUUUUCAGUUACAUGUUUC
Molecule: long non-coding RNA, 1368 nt
Filed under: Setaria viridis
Lineage: Eukaryota; Viridiplantae; Streptophyta; Magnoliopsida; Poales; Poaceae
Description: long non-coding RNA (SVIR_LNC000539)
Source: RNAcentral